This 103-nucleotide ribosomal RNA is filed under the name Citrobacter koseri. Lineage: Bacteria; Pseudomonadati; Pseudomonadota; Gammaproteobacteria; Enterobacterales; Enterobacteriaceae. RNAcentral also lists the same sequence under 25 other names. The record is from RNAcentral.
CCUGGCGGCCGUAGCGCGGUGGUCCCACCUGACCCCAUGCCGAACUCAGAAGUGAAACGCCGUAGCGCCGAUGGUAGUGUGGGGUCUCCCCAUGCGAGAGUAG